Molecule: ribosomal RNA, 267 nt
Filed under: uncultured bacterium
Lineage: Bacteria
Description: partial 16S ribosomal RNA
Rfam family: Bacterial small subunit ribosomal RNA
Source: RNAcentral
AGUGGCGAACGGGUGAGUAAAAGAUAAGUAACCUGCCCUAGGCAGGGGGAUAACGACCGGAAACGGACGCUAAAACCGCAUAGGCUGGGAGAUCGCAUGAGAAUCCAGUUAAAUGUCCUGAAAGGGACAGGCAAAGGAGGGACUUAUCACGCAUUAGCUAGUUGGUGGGGCAACGGCCUACCAAGGCGACGAUGCGUAGCCGGCCUGAGAGGGCGGACGGCCACACUGGGACUGAGACACGGCCCAGACUCCUACGGAAGGCAGCAG